UAAACCAGUGGGCGGGUGCUAUACAUGCAAGUCGAGCGAACAGAUGAGAAGCUUGCUUCUCUGAUGUUAGCGGCGGACGGGUGAGUAACACGUGGGUAACCUACCUAUAAGACUGGGAUAACUCCGGGAAACCGGGGCUAAUACCGGAUAAUAUUUUGAACCGCAUGGUUCAAUAGUGAAAGACGGUUUCGGCUGUCACUUAUAGAUGGACCCGCGCCGUAUUAGCUAGUUGGUAAGGUAACGGCUUACCAAGGCGACGAUACGUAGCCGACCUGAGAGGGUGAUCGGCCACACUGGAACUGAGACACGGUCCAGACUCCUACGGGAGGCAGCAGUAGGGAAUCUUCCGCAAUGGGCGAAAGCGUGACGGAGCAACGCCGCGGUGGAGUGAUGAAUGUCGUCGGAUCGUAAAACUCUGUUGUUAGGGAAGAACAAAUUUGUUAGUAACUGAACAAGUCUUGACGGUACCUAACCAGAAAGCCACGGGCUAACUACGUGCCAGCAGCCGCGGUAAUACGUAGGUGGCAAGCGUUAUCCGGGAAUUAUUGGGCGUAAAGCGCGCGUAGGCGGUUUCUUAAGUCUGAUGUGAAAGCCCACGGCUCAACCGUGGAGGGUCAUUGGAAACUGGGAAACUUGAGUGCAGAAGAGGAGAGUGGAAUUCCAUGUGUAGCGGUGAAAUGCGCAGAGAUAUGGAGGAACACCAGUGGCGAAGGCGGCUCUCUGGUCUGUAACUGACGCUGAUGUGCGAAAGCGUGGGGAUCAAACAGGAUUAGAUACCCUGGUAGUCCACGCCGUAAACGAUGAGUGCUAAGUGUUAGGGGGUUUCCGCCCCUUAGUGCUGCAGCUAACGCAUUAAGCACUCCGCCUGGGGAGUACGACCGCAAGGUUGAAACUCAAAGGAAUUUGACGGGGACCCCGCCACAAGCGGUGGGAGCAUGUGGUUUAAAUUCGAAGCAACGCGAAGAACCUUACCCAAAUCUUGACAUCCUUUGACCGCCUCUAGAAGAAUAGAGUCUUGCCCUUUCAGGGGGACAAAGUGACAGUUGGUGCAUGUAUUGUCGUCAGCUCGUGUUCGUGAGAUGUUGGGGUAAGUUCCCGCAACCGAGCCGCAACACUCUUUAAGCCUUUAGAUGUGCCAUUCAAUUAAGUUGGGCACUCUAGGUUGACUGCCGGUGACAAACCGGAGGAAGGUGGGGAUGACGUCAAAUCAUCAUGCCCCUUAUGAUUUGGGCUACACACGUGCUACAAUGGAUAAUACAAAGGGCAGCGAAUCCGCGAGGCCAAGCAAAUCCCAUAAAAUUAUUCUCAGUUCGGAUUGUAGUCUGCAACUCGACUACAUGAAGCUGGAAUCGCUAGUAAUCGUAGAUCAGCAUGCUACGGUGAAUACGUUCCCGGGUCUUGUACACACCGCCCGUCACACCACGAGAGUUUGUAACACCCGAAGCCGGUGGAGUAACCUUUUAGGAGCUAGCCGUCGAAGUGACCAAAUGGU
RNAcentral lists this ribosomal RNA (1492 nucleotides) under Mammaliicoccus sciuri. RNAcentral's name for it is "bacterial SSU rRNA". It matches the Rfam family "Bacterial small subunit ribosomal RNA". Lineage: Bacteria; Bacillati; Bacillota; Bacilli; Caryophanales; Staphylococcaceae. The record is from RNAcentral.